RNAcentral lists this long non-coding RNA (1017 nucleotides) under Macaca fascicularis (crab-eating macaque). RNAcentral's name for it is "lncRNA (ENSMFAG00000059829.1)". The record is from RNAcentral. Lineage: Eukaryota; Metazoa; Chordata; Mammalia; Primates; Cercopithecidae.
AUGGGAAGCGACUCUGUCCAGGGAGUGUCCUUCACCCCCACACUCCCCACGUCCAGGCAGGGACCGACGCGUCCGGCGGCACCCUCCCAGCGGGCCCAUAGCACGGGGCCACACACGUCCCCUGAGCUUAGCCUGGGCACAUUCGUCUGCCACCUAGGGCUCCCAGUCUGCAGCCCGCGCCCCGACACUCGGACGCACGUCCGUAGCCGGCUCUGCCACGCGGCCGCACAGCCCGAGCUUCCUGCUGCCCACUGCCCCCGGGCUCACUCAACUCCAGCCCUGCACACAGAGAAGGAAGCGGCGGGGACCCCCUGCCACCUCGGAGGCUCAACCCGGGGAAGGCCCCAGCAAUCCCCCUUAACCCUGCGAGAGGUGACGGGGCCGGAGGACGUAAGGGCAACCACGCCAGGCUCCCGACCGCGGCCCCACCCGGCCCAGGCAGUCCCCGCCCCCGCCCCCCUUUCGCUGUUGCGGGAAGCGCUGGGCACACUGACCGCGCGCCACCGGCCGGAGCCCGCCCGACGCCCCGGCCAGAGACCGCCUGCGAGAGGGAGGGGCGGCCGAGCGCGCGUCCCCCGCCCGUCUGCGGGACCCGGCCGAUGCGAAGUGACAGGGGCCGGAGCUUUGUUGUGGAGCCUCGGCCGCCUGGCGCCAGCCGCCCCGCCCGCGCCCUCCCCCUCCAGCCCCGGGCGGCCCGCGAGGCGCCCCCCGGGGCCUCUUAAAGAAACACGCACACUCGGCCCCGGGGACUCCGCCAGGGACGCGGGUUCCUGGGAAGGGGGAGGGGGCCAACCUAGGCGGGGGAGGGGCCCAGCGGGAGCCGCACGGCGCCGCUCCAGGGUCGCCCAGGCCUCCCCAGCGCCAGUUUUCGAUGAGCUGGAGAGUUUGGCUGGGGGUCGCUACAGACUCUUCAGAGCGGCUGCAGCAGGACCUCAGAGUGAUUGCGGGAUCCUGGGGCGGGGCGAGCGGUGGGAUCCUGGCCCCGGAAAGCCAGAGGGAAGGUCGGUGCCACUGUAG